AGGGAAGAACUGAGUCGGCCGCGGGCUUCGAUGUUGGGAAGGAUCGGGGCAACCAUGGGCUUCGGCUUCGAAAAGCAUCGAGUUGGUGUCGCAGGAGGGAGUCGGUGCUGCUCAAAAUCGGAUCGAUCUAUGGGUUCCCUUUGAGCUUCGACGCCGUCUGGGGAUAGCUUCGGCGUGGGCCAGGACCAUUUGAUGUAGGCUAGAACUAAUUGCUGGCAAGCUUUGGCAUAAGUCGGAUGUAGGG
This 244-nucleotide long non-coding RNA is filed under the name Elaeis guineensis (African oil palm). RNAcentral describes it as "long non-coding RNA (EGUI_LNC017617)". The record is from RNAcentral. Lineage: Eukaryota; Viridiplantae; Streptophyta; Magnoliopsida; Arecales; Arecaceae.